AAUAAGAUUAUUUUUAAGUUUUUUGAUACAAUGUUUUGACUUUUCGUUUUAUUUGAAAUUUUUUUGCGAUUAAAAUAUUUUUGUUCUUACUAGAUGAUAAAACAUGAAUAGUACUUUAUGCGUGACUAUUUUUUAAAAAAAUUAUAAAUUUUUCAAAUAAGACGAAUGGUCAAAUGUUGGACAUGGAAAAAC
This 192-nucleotide microRNA precursor is filed under the name Oryza brachyantha (malo sina). RNAcentral describes it as "MIR812 microRNA precursor family". It matches the Rfam family "MIR812 microRNA precursor family". Lineage: Eukaryota; Viridiplantae; Streptophyta; Magnoliopsida; Poales; Poaceae. The record is from Rfam by way of RNAcentral.